GGGCGGCUAGCUCAGGGGUAGAGCAUCGCAUUCACACUGCGGGGGUCGGGGGUUCGAAACCCUCGCCGCCCACCA
Molecule: transfer RNA, 75 nt
Filed under: Piscinibacter sp.
Lineage: Bacteria; Pseudomonadati; Pseudomonadota; Betaproteobacteria; Burkholderiales; Sphaerotilaceae
Also listed under: 3 other names
Description: tRNA-Val
Rfam family: tRNA
About the family: Transfer RNA (tRNA) molecules are approximately 80 nucleotides in length. Their secondary structure includes four short double-helical elements and three loops (D, anti-codon, and T loops). Further hydrogen bonds mediate the characteristic L-shaped molecular structure. tRNAs have two regions of fundamental functional importance: the anti-codon, which is responsible for specific mRNA codon recognition, and the 3' end, to which the tRNAs corresponding amino acid is attached (by aminoacyl-tRNA synthetases). tRNAs cope with the degeneracy of the genetic code in two manners: having more than one tRNA (with a specific anti-codon) for a particular amino acid; and 'wobble' base-pairing, i.e. permitting non-standard base-pairing at the 3rd anti-codon position.
Source: RNAcentral